This 593-nucleotide ribosomal RNA is filed under the name uncultured bacterium. RNAcentral's name for it is "bacterial SSU rRNA". It matches the Rfam family "Bacterial small subunit ribosomal RNA", at positions 338 to 947 of the family's 1533-position model. The record is from RNAcentral.
CCUACGGGAGGCAGCAGUAAGGAAUCUUCCACAAUGGACGAAAGUCUGAUGGAGCAACGCCGCGUGCAGGAUGAAGGCUUUCGGGUCGUAAACUGCUUUUAUAUGGGAAGAUUAUGACGGUACCAUAUGAAUAAGGACCGGCUAACCACGUGCCAGCAGCCGCGGUAAUACGUAGGGUCCAAGCGAUAUCCGGAAUUACUGGGCGUAAAGCGUGUGUAGGUGGAUUAAUAAGUGUGAUGCGAAAUCCGGCGGCUCAACCGUUUGGACUGUGUCGCAUACUGUUAGUCUAGAGGACGGCAGAGGUAAGUGGAAUUACGGGUGUAGCAGCGAAAUGCGUAGAUAUCCGUAGGAACACCAAUGGCGAAGGCAGCUUACUGGGCCACACCUGACACUGAGACACGAAAGCGUGGGGAGCGAACAGGAUUAGAUACCCUGGUAGUCCACGCCGUAAACGAUGCAUACUAUUAGUAUGGGGUAUGACCCCCUGUGCUGAGAAGCUAACGCGAUAAGUAUGCGCCUGGGGAGUACGAGCGCAAGCUAAAACUCAAANAGUAGUUAGAGNGNGNGAGNGCGAGACGACGACGAGGAGGAGG